RNAcentral lists this unclassified non-coding RNA (364 nucleotides) under Hevea brasiliensis (rubber tree). Lineage: Eukaryota; Viridiplantae; Streptophyta; Magnoliopsida; Malpighiales; Euphorbiaceae. The record is from RNAcentral.
GCGAGAAUGAAAUCUAGUCUAUAUAUCCCAUGUAUCUAUUCUUCAAAAAAGGUCAUUUCAUGUAACUCUGGGUCAAUAUAUGUUUGAGCCAUUCCAAAUAUCAGUUGCCUCAAGUUAAACUACCUCCUCCCAGAUUCCAGAUCUUCCACGGUUGGACCAGAAUCUCCGGACAAGGAAAUGCCCGUAAAUGUGUUGUUUCUAUGGUUAGGUUGACUUCCUAUUUGAACCUCUGCGUUGCAUGUAUUAUUUCCGUUGGCAUUUUCACCAUUAGAUGUUUCUACAGCUCCCUGGGACUCCUCCAGCAUACGGAAGUAAGCAUAGGUCGCCCAGCCUUGAUCAUUAUAUGGAGGUGGGAAGAACUGCA